RNAcentral lists this ribosomal RNA (387 nucleotides) under uncultured bacterium. Its description in RNAcentral is "bacterial SSU rRNA". It matches the Rfam family "Bacterial small subunit ribosomal RNA", at positions 29 to 396 of the family's 1533-position model. The record is from RNAcentral.
AACGAACGCUGGCGGCGUGCUUAACACAUGCAAGUCGAGCGGGAAAGUUUCCUUCGGGAAGCGAGUACAGCGGCAGACGGGUGAGUACGACGUAGGUAACCUACCCUCGAGACUGGGAUAACCUGUCGAAAGACGGGCUAAUACCGGAUAAGACCACAAAGGGCUGCGGCCUUUGAGGUAAAAGAUGGCCUCUGCUUGCAAGCUAUCACUUGGGGAUGGGCCUGCGCGCCAUUAGCUAGUUGGUGAGGUAACGGCUCACCAAGGCAAAGAUGGCUAGCUGGUCUGAGAGGAUGGCCAGCCACACUGGGACUGAGACACGGCCCAGACUCCUACGGGAGGCAGCAGUGGGGAAUAUUGCGCAAUGGGCGAAAGCCUGACGCAGCGACG